This 466-nucleotide ribosomal RNA is filed under the name uncultured bacterium. RNAcentral's name for it is "bacterial SSU rRNA". It matches the Rfam family "Bacterial small subunit ribosomal RNA", at positions 34 to 518 of the family's 1533-position model. The record is from RNAcentral.
CGCUGGCGGCACGCUUAACACAUGCAAGUCGAACGGAGAAUUUGGAUUAUCGGAAUUCUUAGUGGCGGACGGGUGAGUAACACGUGAGCAACCUGCCUCUGAGAGAGGGAUAGCUUCUGGAAACGGAUGGUAAUACCUCAUAACAUAACGAAGCCGCAUGACUUUGUUAUCAAAGAUUCAUCACUCAGAGAUGGGCUCGCGUCUGAUUAGAUAGUUGGCGAGGUAACGGCUCACCAAGUCGACGAUCAGUAGCCGGACUGAGAGGUUGAACGGCCACAUUGGGACUGAGACACGGCCCAGACUCCUACGGGAGGCAGCAGUGGGGAAUAUUGCACAAUGGGGGAAACCCUGAUGCAGCGAUGCCGCGUGGAGGAAGAAGGUUUUCGGAUUGUAAACUCCUGUCUUAAAGGACGAUAAUGACGGUACUUUAGGAGGAAGCUCCGGCUAACUACGUGCCAGCCGCGGC